Molecule: ribosomal RNA, 253 nt
Filed under: uncultured prokaryote
Description: partial 16S ribosomal RNA
Rfam family: Bacterial small subunit ribosomal RNA
Source: RNAcentral
UACGAAGGGGGCUAGCGUUGUUCGGAAUUACUGGGCGUAAAGGGCGCGUAGGCGGUCUUGUAAGUCAGGCGUGAAAGGCCCGGGCUCAACCUGGGGACUGCGCUUGAUACUGUGAGGCUUGAAUCCGGGAGAGGAUGGCGGAAUUCCCAGUGUAGAGGUGAAAUUCGUAGAUAUUGGGAAGAACACCGGUGGCGAAGGCGGCCAUCUGGACCGGUAUUGACGCUGAGGCGCGAAAGCGUGGGGAGCAAACAGG